RNAcentral lists this ribosomal RNA (619 nucleotides) under uncultured Alphaproteobacteria bacterium. RNAcentral describes it as "bacterial SSU rRNA". It matches the Rfam family "Bacterial small subunit ribosomal RNA", at positions 28 to 691 of the family's 1533-position model. The record is from RNAcentral. Lineage: Bacteria; Pseudomonadati; Pseudomonadota; Alphaproteobacteria.
AGCGAACGCUGGCGGCAGGCCUAACACAUGCAAGUCGAGCGCUCAUCUUCGGAUGGGAGCGGCGCACGGGUGAGUAACACGUGGGAACCUACCUUGAAGUAUGGAAUAACUGAGGGAAACUUCAGCUAAUACCGAAUACGCCCUACGGGGGAAAGAUUUAUCGCUUCAAGACGGGCCCGCGUUGGAUUAGCUGGUUGGUGAGGUAAUGGCUCACCAAGGCGACGAUCCAUAGCUGAUUUGAGAGAAUGAUCAGCCACACUGGGACUGAGACACGGCCCAGACUCCUACGGGAGGCAGCAGUGGGGAAUAUUGGACAAUGGGCGCAAGCCUGAUCCAGCCAUGCCGCGUGAGUGAUGAAGGCCUUCGGGUUGUAAAGCUCUUUCAGAUGGGACGAUGAUGACGGUACCAUCAGAAGAAGCCCCGGCUAACUUCGUGCCAGCAGCCGCGGUAAUACGAAGGGGGCUAGCGUUGUUCGGAAUUACUGGGCGUAAAGCGCGCGUAGGCGGCUUUGUCAGUCAGGGGUGAAAUCCCGGGGCUUAACCUCGGAACUGCCUUUGAUACUGCAAGGCUUGAGUCUGUGAGAGGAUGGUGGAAUACCCAGUGUAGAGGUGAAAUUCGU